Molecule: non-coding RNA, 634 nt
Organism: Oncorhynchus mykiss (rainbow trout)
Lineage: Eukaryota; Metazoa; Chordata; Actinopteri; Salmoniformes; Salmonidae
Source: RefSeq, a predicted model, not a curated record
GGGAAGCAGAAUGGGGUGGAGUGACCAACACACACCCACAGACAAGAGUUAGAUUACUGCAGACUGGUCAAACCCAACCUCUCCUAAACCCUCCCGUCUACAGAAAUGUGAGCCCCAUUUGGAUGGUGCAAUACGGCGGACAUGUUACCGGAAAAAACAAGCGCAUGAAUCAUGAUGAUAGCGGAUUACUUUCAAAGCUUCUCGCUCACAGUGGCGAAUCAUCAGGUGGAGGUGGGGUAUCUACUGUCAGUCAGGGACAGGAGACUGACAGGCCUGGAGCUGCUGCUUUGGUGUUGGAAAAUGUUGUAAAUGACAUCUGGAAUUCCACAGCCUCCAGGACUCCAACUACGGAAGCAGCAUGGAGGCAAAACGUCUCAGGGCGCCGAUGAGGAAGGAUCACAAAUGAACAGGAGAAACUGGAAAGGGGGUGGAGCUCUGGCGGCAUCAUUGAUGGUCUAACCCAGAGGAGGUGGAGAGGACAGAGCAGAAGGAAAACCAUGAUCCCCACCCCUUAUACCCCUUAUACUGGACGAAGAUCUUUUCUAUUUUUGUGGAACGAAAUUCCACUUUAGCCCUUUAGUAGGUGGCUUACAUUUUUACCUAUUUAUUUGUGUUCAAAAUAAAUGCCCAUACU